UAUGACAAAGGAACGGCCAAAAAUAAAAAGAAAGACCUUUCUUAUGAAAAAACAGACAUACCCAAGGAAUGCAACACGAGGACUUCCCAGGUGCCCAAGCACGCUUAACUUCGGAGUUCUGAUGGGAUCCGGUGCUUUAGUGCUGGUAUGAUCGCAUCCGACAUACCGUGCGUUCUCCUCCCCUUUAUGCCCGCGCCUCCGUGUACGGCCCGCCCAUAGCUCCUUCGACGGCGCCGCCUAGGAACGCGGAGAAAAUAUGACAAAGGAACGGCCAAAAAUAAAAAGAAAGACACUUUCUUUUGAAAAAACAAACAAAAAAAAGGAAUGCAACACGAGGACUUCCCAGGAGGUCACCCAUCCUAGUACUACUCUCGCCCAAGCACGCUUAACUUCGGAGUUCUGAUGGGAUCCGGUGCUUUAGUGCUGGUAUGAUCGCAUCCGACAUACCGUGCGUUCUCCUCCCCUUUAUGCCCGCGCCUCCGUGUACGGCCCGCCCAUAGCUCCUUCGACGGCGCCGCCUAGGAACGCGGAGAAAAUAUGACAAAGGAACGGCCAAAAACAAAAAGAAAGACCUUUCUUUUGAAAAAACAAACGCCUCCGUGUACGGCCCGCCCAUAGCUCCUUCGACGGCGCCGCCUAGGAACGCGGAGAAAAUAUGACAAAGGAACGGCCAAAAAUAAAAAGAAAGACCUUUCUUUUGAAAAAACAAACAAAAAAAAGGAAUGCAACACGAGGACUUCCCAGGAGGUCACCCAUCCUAGUACUACUCUCGCCCAAGCACGCUUAACUUCGGAGUUCUGAUGGGAUCCGGUGCUUUAGUGCUGGUAUGAUCGCAUCCGACAUACCGUGCGUUCUCCUCCCCUUUAUGCCCGCGCCUCCGUGUACGGCCCGCCCAUAGCUCCUUCGACGGCGCCGCCUAGGAACGCGGAGAAAAUAUGACAAAGGAACGGCCAAAAAUAAAAAGAAAGACCUUUCUUUUGAAAAAACAAACGCCUCCGUGUACGGCCCGCCCAUAGCUCCUUCGACGGCGCCGCCUAGGAACGCGGAGAAAAUAUGACAAAGGAACGGCCAAAAAUAAAAAGAAAGACCUUUCUUUUGAAAAAACAAACAAAAAAAAGGAAUGCAACACGAGGACUUCCCAGGAGGUCACCCAUCCUAGUACUACUCUCGCCCAAGCACGCUUAACUUCGGAGUUCUGAUGGGAUCCGGUGCUUUAGUGCUGGUAUGAUCGCAUCCGACAUACCGUGCGUUCUCCUCCCCUUUAUGCCCGCGCCUCCGUGUACGGCCCGCCCAUAGCUCCUUCGACGGCGCCGCCUAGGAACGCGGAGAAAAUAUGACAAAGGAACGGCCAAAAAUAAAAAGAAAGACCUUUCUUUUGAAAAAACAAACGCCUCCGUGUACGGCCCGCCCAUAGCUCCUUCGACGGCGCCGCCUAGGAACGCGGAGAAAAUAUGACAAAGGAACGGCCAAAAAUAAAAAGAAAGACCUUUCUUUUGAAAAAACAAACAAAAAAAAGGAAUGCAACACGAGGACUUCCCAGGAGGUCACCCAUCCUAGUACUACUCUCGCCCAAGCACGCUUAACUUCGGAGUUCUGAUGGGAUCCGGUGCUUUAGUGCUGGUAUGAUCGCAUCCGACAUACCGUGCGUUCUCCUCCCCUUUAUGCCCGCGCCUCCGUGUACGGCCCGCCCAUAGCUCCUUCGACGGCGCCGCCUAGGAACGCGGAGAAAAUAUGACAAAGGAACGGCCAAAAAUAAAAAGAAAGACCUUUCUUUUGAAAAAACAAACAAAUAAAAGGAAUGCAACACGAGGAGUUCCCAGGAGGUCACCCAUCCUAGUACUACUCUCGCCCAAGCACGCUUAACUUCGGAGUUCUGAUGGGAUCCGGUGCUUUAGUGCUGGUAUGAUCGCAUCCGACAUACCGUGCGUUCUCCUCCCCUUUAUGCCCGCGCCUCCGUGUACGGCCCGCCCAUAGCUCCUUCGACGGCGCCGCCUAGGAACGCGGAGAAAAUAUGACAAAGGAACGGCCAAAAAUAAAAAGAAAGACCUUUCUUUUGAAAAAACAAACAAAAAAAAGAAAUGCAACACGAGGACUUCCCAGGAGGUCACCCAUCCUAGUACUACUCUCGCCCAAGCACGCUUAACUUCGGAGUUCUGAUGGGAUCCGGUGCUUUAGUGCUGGUAUGAUCGCAUCCGACAUACCGUGCGUUCUCCUCCCCUUUAUGCCCGCGCCUCCGUGUACGGCCCGCCCAUAGCUCCUUCGACGGCGCCGCCUAGGAACGCGGAGAAAAUAUGACAAAGGAACGGCCAAAAAUAAAAAGAAAGACCUUUCUUUGAAAAAACAAACAAUUCACAGGAAUGCAACACGAGGACUUCCCACGAGGUCACCCAUCCUAGUACUACUCUCGCCCAAGCACGCUUAACUUCGGAGUUCUGAUGGGAUCCGGUGCUUUAGUGCUGGUAUGAUCGCAUCCGACAUACCGUGCGUUCUCCUCCCCUUUAUGCCCGCGCCUCCGUGUACGGCCCGCCCAUAGCUCCUUCGACGGCGCCGCCUAGGAACGCGGAGAAAAUAUGACAAAGGAACGGCCAAAAAUAAAAAGAAAGACCUUUCUUUUGAAAAAACAAACCAAAAAAAAGGAAUGCAACACGAGGACUUCCCAAGAGGUCACCCAUCCUAGUACUACUCUCGCCCAAGCACGCUUAACUUCGGAGUUCUGAUGGGAUCCGGUGCUUUAGUGCUGGUAUGAUCGCAUCCGACAUACCGUGCGUUCUCCUCCCCAUUAUGCCCGCGCCUCCGUGUACGGCCCGCCCAUAGCUCCUUUGACGGCGCCGCUUAGGAACGCGGAGAAAAUAUGACAAAGGAACGGCCAAAAAUAAAAAGAAAGACCUUUCUUUUGAAAAAACAAACAAAUAAAAGGAAUGCAACACGAGGACUUCCCAGGAGGUCACCCAUCCUAGUACUACUCUCGCCCAAGCACGCUUAACUUCGGAGUUCUGAUGGGAUCCGGUGCUUUAGUGCUGGUAUGAUCGCAUCCGACAUACCGUGCGUUCUCCUCCCCUUUAUGCCCGCGCCUCCGUGUACGGCCCGCCCAUAGCUCCUUCGACGGCGCCGCCUAGGAACGCGGAGAAAAUAUGACAAAGGAACGGCCAAAAACAAAAAGAAAGACCUUUCUUUUGAAAAAACAAACAAAAAAAAGGAAUGCAACACGAGGACUUCCCAGGAGGUCACCCAUCCUAGUACUACUCUCGCCCAAGCACGCUUAACUUCGGAGUUCUGAUGGGAUCCGGUGCUUUAGUGCUGGUAUGAUCGCAUCCGACAUACCGUGCGUUCUCCUCCCCUUUAUGCCCGCGCCUCCGUGUACGGCCCGCCCAUAGCUCCUUCGACGGCGCCGCCUAGGAACGCGGAGAAAAUAUGACAAAGGAACGGCCAAAAAUAAAAAGAAAGACCUUUCUUUUGAAAAAACAAACAAAUAAAAGGAAUGCAACACGAGGACUUCCCAGGAGGUCACCCAUCCUAGUACUACUCUCGCCCAAGCACGCUUAACUUCGGAGUUCUGAUGGGAUCCGGUGCUUUAGUGCUGGUAUGAUCGCAUCCGACAUACCGUGCGUUCUCCUCCCCUUUAUGCCCGCGCCUCCGUGUACGGCCCGCCCAUAGCUCCUUCGACGGCGCCGCCUAGGAACGCGGAGAAAAUAUGACAAAGGAACGGCCAAAAAUAAAAAGAAAGACCUUUCUUUUGAAAAAACAAACAAAUAAAAGGAAUGCAACACGAGGACUUCCCAGGAGAUCACCCAUCCUAGUACUACUCUCGCCCAAGCACGCUUAACUUCGGAGUUCUGAUGGGAUCCGGUGCUUUAGUGCUGGUAUGAUCGCAUCCGACAUACCGUGCGUUCUCCUCCCCUUUAUGCCCGCGCCUCCGUGUACGGCCCGCCCAUAGCUCCUUCGACGGCGCCGCCUAGGAACGCGGAGAAAAUAUGACAAAGGAACGGCCAAAAAUAAAAAGAAAGACCUUUCUUUUGAAAAAACAAACAAAAAAAAGGAAUGCAACACGAGGACUUCCCACGAGGUCACCCAUCCUAGUACUACUCUAGUACCAAGCACGCUUAACUUCGGAGUUCUGAUGGGAUCCGGUGCUUUAGUGCUGGUAUGAUCGCAUCCGACAUACCGUGCGUUCUCCUCCCCUUUAUGCCCGCGCCUCCGUGUACGGCCCGCCCAUAGCUCCUUCGACGGCGCCGCCUAGGAACGCGGAGAAAAUAUGACAAAGGAACGGCCAAAAAUAAAAAGAAAGACCUUUCUUUUGAAAAAACAAACAAAAAAAAGGAAUGCAACACGAGGACUUCCCAGGAGGUCACCCAUCCUAGUACUACUCUCGCCCAAGCACGCUUAACUUCGGAGUUCUGAUGGGAUCCGGUGCUUUAGUGCUGGUAUGAUCGCAUCCGACAUACCGUGCGUUCUCCUCCCCUUUAUGCCCGCGCCUCCGUGUACGGCCCGCCCAUAGCUCCUUCGACGGCGCCGCCUAGGAACGCGGAGAAAAUAUGACAAAGGAACGGCCAAAAAUAAAAAGAAAGACCUUUCUUUUGAAAAAACAAACAAAUAAAAGGAAUGCAACACGAGGACUUCCCAGGAGGUCACCCAUCCUAGUACUACUCUCGCCCAAGCACGCUUAACUUCGGAGUUCUGAUGGGAUCCGGUGCUUUAGUGCUGGUAUGAUCGCAUCCGACAUACCGUGCGUUCUCCUCCCCUUUAUGCCCGCGCCUCCGUGUACGGCCCGCCCAUAGCUCCUUCGACGGCGCCGCCUAGGAACGCGGAGAAAAUAUGACAAAGGAACGGCCAAAAAUAAAAAGAAAGACCUUUCUUUUGAAAAAACAAACAAAAAAAAGGAAUGCAACACGAGGACUUCCCAGGAGGUCACCCAUCCUAGUACUACUCUCGCCCAAGCACGCUUAACUUCGGAGUUCUGAUGGGAUCCGGUGCUUUAGUGCUGGUAUGAUCGCAUCCGACAUACCGUGCGUUCUCCUCCCCUUUAUGCCCGCGCCUCCGUGUACGGCCCGCCCAUAGCUCCUUCGACGGCGCCGCCUAGGAACGCGGAGAAAAUAUGACAAAGGAACGGCCAAAAAUAAAAAGAAAGACCUUUCUUUUGAAAAAACAAACAAAAAAAAGGAAUGCAACACGAGGACUUCCCAGGAGGUCACCCAUCCUAGUACUACUCUCGCCCAAGCACGCUUAACUUCGGAGUUCUGAUGGGAUCCGGUGCUUUAGUGCUGGUAUGAUCGCAUCCGACAUACCGUGCGUUCUCCUCCCCUUUAUGCCCGCGCCUCCGUGUACGGCCCGCCCAUAGCUCCUUCGACGGCGCCGCCUAGGAACGCGGAGAAAAUAUGACAAAGGAACGGCCAAAAAUAAAAAGAAAGACCUUUCUUUUGAAAAAACAAACAAAUAAAAGGAAUGCAACACAAGGACUUCCCAGGAGGUCACCCAUCCUAGUACUACUCUCGCCCAAGCACGCUUAACUUCGGAGUUCUGAUGGGAUCCGGUGCUUUAGUGCUGGUAUGAUCGCAUCCGACAUACCGUGCGUUCUCCUCCCCUUUAUGCCCGCGCCUCCGUGUACGGCCCGCCCAUAGCUCCUUCGACGGCGCCGCCUAGGAACGCGGAGAAAAUAUGACAAAGGAACGGCCAAAAAUAAAAAGAAAGACCUUUCUUUUGAAAAAACAAACGCCUCCGUGUACGGCCCGCCCAUAGCUCCUUCGACGGCGCCGCCUAGGAACGCGGAGAAAAUAUGACAAAGGAACGGCCAAAAAUAAAAAGAAAGACCUUUCUUUUGAAAAAACAAACAAAAAAAAGGAAUGCAACACGAGGACUUCCCAGGAGGUCACCCAUCCUAGUACUACUCUCGCCCAAGCACGCUUAACUUCGGAGUUCUGAUGGGAUCCGGUGCUUUAGUGCUGGUAUGAUCGCAUCCGACAUACCGUGCGUUCUCCUCCCCUUUAUGCCCGCGCCUCCGUGUACGGCCCGCCCAUAGCUCCUUCGACGGCGCCGCCUAGGAACGCGGAGAAAAUAUGACAAAGGAACGGCCAAAAAUAAAAAGAAAGACCUUUCUUUUGAAAAAACAAACGCCUCCGUGUACGGCCCGCCCAUAGCUCCUUCGACGGCGCCGCCUAGGAACGCGGAGAAAAUAUGACAAAGGAACGGCCAAAAAUAAAAAGAAAGACCUUUCUUUUGAAAAAACAAACAAAAAAAAGGAAUGCAACACGAGGACUUCCCAGGAGGUCACCCAUCCUAGUACUACUCUCGCCCAAGCACGCUUAACUUCGGAGUUCUGAUGGGAUCCGGUGCUUUAGUGCUGGUAUGAUCGCAUCCGACAUACCGUGCGUUCUCCUCCCCUUUAUGCCCGCGCCUCCGUGUACGGCCCGCCCAUAGCUCCUUCGACGGCGCCGCCUAGGAACGCGGAGAAAAUAUGACAAAGGAACGGCCAAAAAUAAAAAGAAAGACCUUUCUUUUGAAAAAACAAACAAAUAAAAGGAAUGCAACACGAGGACUUCCCAGGAGGUCACCCAUCCUAGUACUACUCUCGCCCAAGCACGCUUAACUUCGGAGUUCUGAUGGGAUCCGGUGCUUUAGUGCUGGUAUGAUCGCAUCCGACAUACCGUGCGUUCUCCUCCCCUUUAUGCCCGCGCCUCCGUGUACGGCCCGCCCAUAGCUCCUUCGACGGCGCCGCCUAGGAACGCGGAGAAAAUAUGACAAAGGAACGGCCAAAAAUAAAAAGAAAGACCUUUCUUUUGAAAAAACAAACAAAAAAAAAGGAAUGCAACACGAGGACUUCCCAGGAGGUCACCCAUCCUAGUACUACUCUCGCCCAAGCACGCUUAACUUCGGAGUUCUGAUGGGAUCCGGUGCUUUAGUGCUGGUAUGAUCGCAUCCGACAUACCGUGCGUUCUCCUCCCCUUUAUGCCCGCGCCUCCGUGUACGGCCCGCCCAUAGCUCCUUCGACGGCGCCGCCUAGGAACGCGGAGAAAAUAUGACAAAGGAACGGCCAAAAAUAAAAAGAAAGACCUUUCUUUUGAAAAAACAAACAAAAAAAAGGAAUGCAACACGAGGACUUCCCAGGAGGUCACCCAUCCUAGUACUACUCUCGCCCAAGCACGCUUAACUUCGGAGUUCUGAUGGGAUCCGGUGCUUUAGUGCUGGUAUGAUCGCAUCCGACAUACCGUGCGUUCUCCUCCCCUUUAUGCCCGCGCCUCCGUGUACGGCCCGCCCAUAGCUCCUUCGACGGCGCCGCCUAGGAACGCGGAGAAAAUAUGACAAAGGAACGGCCAAAAAUAAAAAGAAAGACCUUUCUUUUGAAAAAACAAACAAAAAAAAGGAAUGCAACACGAGGACUUCCCAGGAGGUCACCCAUCCUAGUACUACUCUCGCCCAAGCACGCUUAACUUCGGAGUUCUGAUGGGAUCCGGUGCUCUAGUGCUGGUAUGAUCGCAUCCGACAUACCGUGCGUUCUCCUCCCCUUUAUGCCCGCGCCUCCGUGUACGGCCCGCCCAUAGCUCCUUCGACGGCGCCGCCUAGGAACGCGGAGAAAAUAUGACAAAGGAACGGCCAAAAAUAAAAAGAAAGACCUUUCUUUUGAAAAAACAAACAAAAAAAAAGGAAUGCAACACGAGGACUUCCCAGGAGGUCACCCAUCCUAGUACUACUCUCGCCCAAGCACGCUUAACUUCGGAGUUCUGAUGGGAUCCGGUGCUUUAGUGCUGGUAUGAUCGCAUCCGACAUACCGUGCGUUCUCCUCCCCUUUAUGCCCGCGCCUCCGUGUACGGCCCGCCCAUAGCUCCUUCGACGGCGCCGCCUAGGAACGCGGAGAAAAUAUGACAAAGGAACGGCCAAAAAUAAAAAGAAAGACCUUUCUUUUGAAAAAACAAACAAAUAAAAGGAAUGCAACACGAGGACUUCCUAGGAGGUCACCCAUCCUAGUACUACUCUCGCCCAAGCACGCUUAACUUCGGAGUUCUAAUGGGAUCCGGUGCUUUAGUGCUGGUAUGAUCGCAUCCGACAUACCGUGCGUUCUCCUCCCCUUUAUGCCCGCGCCUCCGUGUACGGCCCGCCCAUAGCUCCUUCGACGGCGCCGCCUAGGAACGCGGAGAAAAUAUGACAAAGGAACGGCCAAAAAUAAAAAGAAAGACCUUUCUUUUGAAAAAACAAACAAAAAAAAGGAAUGCAACACGAGGACUUCCCAGGAGGUCACCCAUCCUAGUACUACUCUCGCCCAAGCACGCUUAACUUCGGAGUUCUGAUGGGAUCCGGUGCUUUAGUGCUGGUAUGAUCGCAUCCGACAUACCGUGCGUUCUCCUCCCCUUUAUGCCCGCGCCUCCGUGUACGGCCCGCCCAUAGCUCCUUCGACGGCGCCGCCUAGGAACGCGGAGAAAAUAUGACAAAGGAACGGCCAAAAAUAAAAAGAAAGACCUUUCUUUUGAAAAAACAAACAAAAAAAAGGAAUGCAACACGAGGACUUCCCAGGAGGUCACCCAUCCUAGUACUACUCUCGCCCAAGCACGCUUAACUUCGGAGUUCUGAUGGGAUCCGGUGCUUUAGUGCUGGUAUGAUCGCAUCCGACAUACCGUGCGUUCUCCUCCCCUUUAUGCCCGCGCCUCCGUGUACGGCCCGCCCAUAGCUCCUUCGACGGCGCCGCCUAGGAACGCGGAGAAAAUAUGACAAAGGAACGGCCAAAAAUAAAAAGAAAGACCUUUCUUUUGAAAAAACAAACAAAAAAAAGGAAUGCAACACGAGGACUUCCCAGGAGGUCACCCAUCCUAGUACUACUCUCGCCCAAGCACGCUUAACUUCGGAGUUCUGAUGGGAUCCGGUGCUUUAGUGCUGGUAUGAUCGAAUCCGACAUACCGUGCGUUCUCCUCCCCUUUAUGCCCGCGCCUCCGUGUACGGUCCGCCCAUAGCUCCUUCGACGGCGCCGCCUAGGAACGCGGAGAAAAUAUGACAAAGGAACGGCCAAAAAUAAAAAGAAAGACCUUUCUUUUGAAAAAACAAACAAAUAAAAGGAAUGCAACACGAGGACUUCCCAGGAGGUCACCCAUCCUAGUACUACUCUCGCCCAAGCACGCUUAACUUCGGAGUUCUGAUGGGAUCCGGUGCUUUAGUGCUGGUAUGAUCGCAUCCGACAUACCGUGCGUUCUCCUCCCCUUUAUGCCCGCGCCUCCGUGUACGGCCCGCCCAUAGCUCCUUCGACGGCGCCGCCUAGGAACGCGGAGAAAAUAUGACAAAGGAACGGCCAAAAAUAAAAAGAAAGACCUUUCUUUUGAAAAAACAAACAAAUAAAAGGAAUGCAACACGAGGACUUCCCAGGAGGUCACCCAUCCUAGUACUACUCUCGCCCAAGCACGCUUAACUUCGGAGUUCUGAUGGGAUCCGGUGCUUUAGUGCUGGUAUGAUCGCAUCCGACAUACCGUGCGUUCUCCUCCCCUUUAUGCCCGCGCCUCCGUGUACGGCCCGCCCAUAGCUCCUUCGACGGCGCCGCCUAGGAACGCGGAGAAAAUAUGACAAAGGAACGGCCAAAAAUAAAAAGAAAGACCUUUCUUUUGAAAAAACAAACAAAAAAAAGGAAUGCAGCACCAGGACUUCCCGGAAGGUCACCCAUCCAAAUACAACUCUCGCCGAACCACGUUUAACUUCGAAUUUCUAAUGGAAUCCGGGGCUUUAGAGCUGGAAUGAUCGCAUCCGACAUACCGUGCGUUCUCCUCCCCUUUAUGCCCGCGCCUCCGUGUACGGCCCGCCCAUAGCUCCUUCGACGGCGCCGCCUAGGAACGCGGAGAAAAUAUGACAAAGGAGCGGCCAAAAAUAAAAAGAAAGACCUUUCUUUUGAAAAAACAAACAAAUAAAAGGAAUGCAACACGAGGACUUCCUAGGAGGUCACCCAUCCUAGUACUACUCUCGCCCAAGCACGCUUAACUUCGGAGUUCUGAUGGGAUCCGGUGCUUUAGUGCUGGUAUGAUCGCAUCCGACAUACCGUGCGUUCUCCUCCCCUUUAUGCCCGCGCCUCCGUGUACGGCCCGCCCAUAGCUCCUUCGACGGCGCCGCCUAGGAACGCGGAGAAAAUAUGACAAAGGAACGGCCAAAAAUAAAAAGAAAGACCUUUCUUUUGAAAAAACAAACGCCUCCGUGUACGGCCCGCCCAUAGCUCCUUCGACGGCGCCGCCUAGGAACGCGGAGAAAAUAUGACAAAGGAACGGCCAAAAAUAAAAAGAAAGACCUUUCUUUUGAAAAAACAAACAAAAAAAAGGAAUGCAACACGAGGACUUCCCAGGAGGUCACCCAUCCUAGUACUACUCUCGCCCAAGCACGCUUAACUUCGGAGUUCUGAUGGGAUCCGGUGCUUUAGUGCUGGUAUGAUCGCAUCCGACAUACCGUGCGUUCUCCUCCCCUUUAUGCCCGCGCCUCCGUGUACGGCCCGCCCAUAGCUCCUUCGACGGCGCCGCCUAGGAACGCGGAGAAAAUAUGACAAAGGAACGGCCAAAAAUAAAAAGAAAGACCUUUCUUUUGAAAAAACAAACAAAUAAAAGGAAUGCAACACGAGGACUUCCCAGGAGGUCACCCAUCCUAGUACUACUCUCGCCCAAGCACGCUUAACUUCGGAGUUCUGAUGGGAUCCGGUGCUUUAGUGCUGGUAUGAUCGCAUUCGACAUACCGAUGCGUUCUCAUCCCCGUUAUGCGCCGCGCCUCUGUGUACGGCCCGCCCAUAGCUCCUUUGACUGCGCCUCGUAGGAUCGCGGAGAAUAUAUGACAAAGGCACGGCCAAACAUAAAACGAAAGACCUCUCUUUUGCAACAACAAACAAAAUAAAGGAAUGCAACACGAGGACUUCCCAGGAGGUCACCCAUCCUAGUACUAGUCUCGCUCAAGCACGCUGAUCUUCGGAGUUCUGAUGGGAUCCGGUGCUUUAGUGCUGGUAUGAUCGCAUCCGACAUACCGUGCGUUCUCCUCCCCUUUAUGCCCGCGCCUCCGUGUACGGCCCGCCCAUAGCUCCUUCGACGGCGCCGCCUAGGAACGCGGAGAAAAUAUGACAAAGGAACGGCCAAAAAUAAAAAGAAAGACCUUUCUUUUGAAAAAACAAACAAAAAAAAGGAAUGCAACACGAGGACUUCCCAGGAGGUCACCCAUCCUAGUACUACUCUCGCCCAAGCACGCUUAACUUCGGAGUUCUGAUGGGAUCCGGUGCUUUAGUGCUGGUAUGAUCGCAUCCGACAUACCGUGCGUUCUCCUCCCCUUUAUGCCCGCGCCUCCGUGUACGGCCCGCCCAUAGCUCCUUCGACGGCGCCGCCUAGGAACGCGGAGAAAAUAUGACAAAGGAACGGCCAAAAAUAAAAAGAAAGACCUUUCUUUUGAAAAAACAAACAAAUAAAAGGAAUGCAACACGAGGACUUCCCAGGAGGUCACCCAUCCUAGUACUACUCUCGCCCAAGCACGCUUAACUUCGGAGUUCUGAUGGGAUCCGGUGCUUUAGUGCUGGUAUGAUCGCAUCCGACAUACCGUGCGUUCUCCUCCCCUUUAUGCCCGCGCCUCCGUGUACGGCCCGCCCAUAGCUCCUUCGACGAGCCCGCCUAGGAACGCGGAGAAAAUAUGACAAAGGAACGGCCAAAAAUAAAAAGAAAGACCUUUCUUUUGAAAAAACAAACAAAUAAAAGGAAUGCAACACGAGGACUUCCCAGGAGGUCACCCAUCCUAGUACUACUCUCGCCCAAGCACGCUUAACUUCGGAGUUCUGAUGGGAUCCGGUGCUUUAGUGCUGGUAUGAUCGCAUCCGACAUACCGUGCGUUCUCCUCCCCUUUAUGCCCGCGCCUCCGUGUACGGCCCGCCCAUAGCUCCUUCGACGGCGCCGCCUAGGAACGCGGAGAAAAUAUGACAAAGGAACGGCCAAAAAUAAAAAGAAAGACCUUUCUUUUGAAAAAACAAACAAAAAAAAGGAAUGCAACACGAGGACUUCCCAGGAGGUCACCCAUCCUAGUACUACUCUCGCCCAAGCACGCUUAACUUCGGAGUUCUGAUGGGAUCCGGUGCUUUAGUGCUGGUAUGAUCGCAUCCGACAUACCGUGCGUUCUCCUCCCCUUUAUGCCCGCGCCUCCGUGUACGGCCCGCCCAUAGCUCCUUCGACGGCGCCGCCUAGGAACGCGGAGAAAAUAUGACAAAGGAACGGCCAAAAAUAAAAAGAAAGACCUUUCUUUUGAAAAAACAAACAAAUAAAAGGAAUGCAACACGAGGACUUCCCAGGAGGUCACCCAUCCUAGUACUACUCUCGCCCAAGCACGCUUAACUUCGGAGUUCUGAUGGGAUCCGGUGCUUUAGUGCUGGUAUGAUCGCAUCCGACAUACCGUGCGUUCUCCUCCCCUUUAUGCCCGCGCCUCCGUGUACGGCCCGCCCAUAGCUCCUUCGACGGCGCCGCCUAGGAACGCGGAGAAAAUAUGACAAAGGAACGGCCAAAAAUAAAAAGAAAGACCUUUCUUUUGAAAAAACAAACAAAUAAAAGGAAUGCAACACGAGGACUUCCCAGGAGGUCACCCAUCCUAGUACUACUCUCGCCCAAGCACGCUUAACUUCGGAGUUCUGAUGGGAUCCGGUGCUUUAGUGCUGGUAUGAUCGCAUCCGACAUACCGUGCGUUCUCCUCCCCUUUAUGCCCGCGCCUCCGUGUACGGUCCGCCCAUAGCUCUUUAGUUGGCGCCUCCUAGGAACGCGGAGAAAAUAUGACAAAGGAACGGCCAAAAAUAAAAAGAAAGACCUUUCUUUUGAAAAAACAAACGCCUCCGUGUACGGCCCGCCCAUAGCUCCUUCGACGGCGCCGCCUAGGAACGCGGAGAAAAUAUGACAAAGGAACGGCCAAAAAUAAAAAGAAAGACCUUUCUUUUGAAAAAACAAACAAAAAAAAGGAAUGCAACACGAGGACUUCCCAGGAGGUCACCCAUCCUAGUACUACUCUCGCCCAAGCACGCUUAACUUCGGAGUUCUGAUGGGAUCCGGUGCUUUAGUGCUGGUAUGAUCGCAUCCGACAUACCGUGCGUUCUCCUCCCCUUUAUGCCCGCGCCUCCGUGUACGGCCCGCCCAUAGCUCCUUCGACGGCGCCGCCUAGGAACGCGGAGAAAAUAUGACAAAGGAACGGCCAAAAAUAAAAAGAAAGACCUUUCUUUUGAAAAAACAAACAAAUAAAAGGAAUGCAACACGAGGAGUUCCCAGGAGGUCACCCAUCCUAGUACUACUCUCGCCCAAGCACGCUUAACUUCGGAGUUCUGAUGGGAUCCGGUGCUUUAGUGCUGGUAUGAUCGCAUCCGACAUACCGUGCGUUCUCCUCCCCUUUAUGCCCGCGCCUCCGUGUACGGCCCGCCCAUAGCUCCUUCGAUGGCGCCGCCUAGGAACGCGGAGAAAAUAUGACAAAGGAACGGCCAAAAAUAAAAAGAAAGACCUUUCUUUUGAAAAAACAAACGCCUCCGUGUACGGCCCGCCCAUAGCUCCUUCGACGGCGCCGCCUAGGAACGCGGAGAAAAUAUGACAAAGGAACGGCCAAAAAUAAAAAGAAAGACCUUUCUUUUGAAAAAACAAACAAAAAAAAGGAAUGCAACACGAGGACUUCCCAGGAGGUCACCCAUCCUAGUACUACUCUCGCCCAAGCACGCUUAACUUCGGAGUUCGGAUGGGAUCCGGUGCUUUAGUGCUGGUAUGAUCGCAUCCGACAUACCGUGCGUUCUCCUCCCCUUUAUGCCCGCGCCUCCGUGUACGGCCCGCCCAUAGCUCCUUCGACGGCGCCGCCUAGGAACGCGGAGAAAAUAUGACAAAGGAACGGCCAAAAAUAAAAAGAAAGACCUUUCUUUUGAAAAAACAAACAAAUAAAAGGAAUGCAACACGAGGACUUCCCAGGAGGUCACCCAUCCUAGUACUACUCUCGCCCAAGCACGCUUAACUUCGGAGUUCUGAUGGGAUCCGGUGCUUUAGUGCUGGUAUGAUCGCAUCCGACAUACCGUGCGUUCUCCUCCCCUUUAUGCCCGCGCCUCCGUGUACGGCCCGCCCAUAGCUCCUUCGACGGCGCCGCCUAGGAACGCGGAGAAAAUAUGACAAAGGAACGGCCAAAAAUAAAAAGAAAGACCUUUCUUUUGAAAAAACAAACAAAAAAAAGGAAUGCAACACGAGGACUUCCCAGGAGGUCACCCAUCCUAGUACUACUCUCGCCCAAGCACGCUUAACUUCGCAGUUCUGAUGGGAUCCGGUGCUUUAGUGCUGGUAUGAUCGCAUCCGACAUACCGUGCGUUCUCCUCCCCUUUAUGCCCGCGCCUCCGUGUACGGCCCGCCCAUAGCUCCUUCGACGGCGCCGCCUAGGAACGCGGAGAAAAUAUGACAAAGGAACGGCCAAAAAUAAAAAGAAAGACCUUUCUUUUGAAAAAACAAACGGCUCCGUGUACGGCCCGCCCAUAGCUCCUUCGACGGCGCCGCCUAGGAACGCGGAGAAAAUAUGACAAAGGAACGGCCAAAAAUAAAAAGAAAGACCUUUCUUUUGAAAAAACAAACAAAAAAAAGGAAUGCAACACGAGGACUUCCCAGGAGGUCACCCAUCCUAGUACUACUCUCGCCCAAGCACGCUUAACUUCGGAGUUCUGAUGGGAUCCGGUGCUUUAGUGCUGGUAUGAUCGCAUCCGACAUACCGUGCGUUCUCCUCCCCUUUAUGCCCGCGCCUCCGUGUACGGCCCGCCCAUAGCUCCUUCGACGGCGCCGCCUAGGAACGCGGAGAAAAUAUGACAAAGGAACGGCCAAAAAUAAAAAGAAAGACCUUUCUUUUGAAAAAACAAACAAAUAAAAGGAAUGCAACACGAGGACUUCCCAGGAGGUCACCCAUCCUAGUACUACUCUCGCCCAAGCACGCUUAACUUCGGAGUUCUGAUGGGAUCCGGUGCUUUAGUGCUGGUAUGAUCGCAUCCGACAUACCGUGUGUCGACGAAAGCUGGUCGGCAGUCUACCUUGGGGUAUACCCACGGUAGUAGUUUAUCGGUAGACGGUGCGCAAACUACGAACUCGAUGGUGACGCAAGACACGGACAAGCUUUUUAUCCAGGUUCGGCCGCCGAGUUGGCGUAAUACCUACGUCCUGCGUCUGGUUGUAUUGGAUUGUGUUUAGAGAUAAUCUACCCUAGGGGGUCCCCUUGCCCCUCCUUAUAUAGUCUGGAGGGCAGGGUUACAGAUCUAGAAACUAAUCCUAGCCGGUUACAAUUGCCAUAGAUAAUUCGAUAUCAAUUCCUAUUCUAACCGACUAGAAUCCUGCUUGAUCUCCACGUCCUGUUUCCUUGCGCGAAACUCGGGCUAUCGGAUCAAGCCUUGAACUCGUCUCGUAGUGGGCCAAGCUUCCUAGCUGAAGUCUAGCCGUAAGGGUAUAGGGGUUUAUACCCCCACAGCUAGUCCCCGAGCGCCAUGUAUUGUGACGCAACACUCCGUCUUGAGCUUCUUCGAUCAGCGUGGUCUGUCGUCUUCAAUGAGCGGGGAAAUCGCCCAAACGGUUCAUUGAUCAACGUUGUCAUCGAAGAAGCAGGUUGUUCGAAGAAUGCAUGGUGCUCUAAAAAAAAUUUCUUUCCUGGUGAAGUGUGCCCACUUUGCCUUUCUGAAAGGUAGAAGCAACAAAAAAGCAAGCAAAUUCACCGCUAGGUGAAGUGUGCCCACUUAGUCCCCGAGCCUGGUAGUAGGUGUCGUAGGCACGUGGUGCCAGGGUCAAAAGAAAAUUCCCCAAAGUAGUUUUGGGACUGAGAUGCAUCGUACCGAUGUAGUCCCCGAGCUUGCUGGAAGGCGAAGUAUGAGCCUUGUAGCAAGGUCUAAAAAAUUGAAUUUACCAGUCCCCGAGCAUGUCAUGCUCGUCUGCAAUCGAAAAGACCAAUCGACCAGUCCCCAGGCACUUAGUGUGCUGCCUGGAAUUACAUGUUACUAUACUGUACGACCAGUCCCCGAGCAUCGAGUGCUCAGUGGUCGGUGCAUGCUUUAAAGCUUUGAGCUGAUAGACUGAGCGACCAGUCCCCGAGCGUCGAGUGCUCGGUGGUCGGUGAAGUCUUUGAAGUUCCGAGCUGAUAAACUGGGCGACCAGUCCCCGAGCGUCGAGUGCUCGGUGGUCGGUGCAGUCUUUGAAGUUCCGAGCUAAUAAACUGGGCGACCAGUCCCCGAGCGUCGAGUGCUCGGUGGUCGGUGCAGUCUUUGAAGUUCCGAGCUAAUAAACUGGGCGACCAGUCCCCGAGCGUCGAGUGCUCGGUGGUCGGUGCAGUCCCCGGAUUGCUGACUCACUGGCGUAUGUGUCUUCUUACUUUUGAAAAGGUCUUUCAAAUUUAAAGUUGACGUGACGGGGUCUCCUGACGAUAUGUCAGACGGAUGCAUGAAAAGCUGUGCCUGGCAACUGUACAACCGCUCUUUGCNNNNNNNNNNNNNNNNNNNNNNNNNNNNNNNNNNNNNNNNNNNNNNNNNNNNNNNNNNNNNNNNNNNNNNNNNNNNNNNNNNNNNNNNNNNNNNNNNNNNCGUUCUCCUCCCCUUUAUGCCCGCGCCUCCGUGUCCGUAAAGGGCAUAGCUCCUUCGACGGCGCCGCCGUAGGAACGCUGAGAAGAUAUGACAAAGGAACGGCCAAAAAUAAAAAGAAAGACCUUUCUUUUGAAAAAACAAACAAAAAAAAGGAAUGCAACACGAGGACUUCCCAGGAGGUCACCCAUCCUAGUACUACUCUCGCCCAAGCACGCUUAACUUCGGAGUUCUGAUGGGAUCCGGUGCUUUAGUGCUGGUAUGAUCGCAUCCGACAUACCGUGCGUUCUCCUCCCCUUUAUGCCCGCGCCUCCGUGUACGGCCGGCCCAUAGCUCCUUCGACGGCGCCGCCUAGGAACGCGGAGAAAAUAUGACAAAGGAAUUUUUUUAAAUAAAAAGAAAGACCUUUCUUUUGAAAAAACAAACGAAAAAAAGGAAUGCAACACGAGGACUUCCCAGGAGGUCACCCAUCCUAGUACUACUCUCGCCCAAGCACGCUUAACUUCGGAGUUCUGAUGGGAUCCGGUGCUUUAGUGCUGGUAUGAUCGCAUCCGACAUACCGUGCGUUCUCCUCCCCUUUAUGCCCGCGCCUCCGUGUACGGCCCGCCCAUAGCUCCUUCGACGGCGCCGCCUAAGAACGCGGAAAAAAUAUGACAAAGGAACGGCCAAAAAUAAAAAAAAAAAACCUUUCUUUUGAAAAAANNNNNNNNNNNNNNNNNNNNNNNNNNNNNNNNNNNNNNNNNNNNNNNNNNNNNNNNNNNNNNNNNNNNNNNNNNNNNNNNNNNNNNNNNNNNNNNNNNNNAAAAGGAAUGCAACACGAGGACUUCCCAGGAGGUCACCCAUCCUAGUACUACUCUCGCCCAAGCACGCUUAACUUCGGAGUUCUGAUGGGAUCCGGUGCUUUAGUGCUGGUAUGAUCGCAUCCGACAUACCGUGCGUUCUCCUCCCCUUUAUGCCCGCGCCUCCGUGUUACGGCCCGCCCAUAGCUCCUUCGACGGCGCCGCCUAGGAACGCGGAGAAAAUAUGACAAAGGAACGGCCAAAAAUCAAAAGAAAGACCUUUCUUUUGAAAAAACACACGCCUCCGUGUACGGCCCGCCCAUAGCUCCUUCGACGGCGCCGCCUAGGAACGCGGAGAAAAUAUGACAAAGGAACGGCCAAAAAUAAAAAGAAAGACCUUUCUUUUGAAAAAACAAACAAAUAAAAGGAAUGCAACACGAGGACUUCCCAGGAGGUCACCCAUCCUAGUACUACUCUCGCCCAAGCACGCUUAACUUCGGAGUUCUGAUGGGAUCCGGUGCUUUAGUGCUGGUAUGAUCGCAUCCGACAUACCGUGCGUUCUCCUCCCCUUUAUGCCCGCGCCUCCGUGUACGGCCCGCCCAUAGCUCCUUCGACGGCGCCGCCUAGGAACGCGGAGAAAAUAUGACAAAGGAACGGCCAAAAAUAAAAAGAAAGACCUUUCUUUUGAAAAAACAAACAAAUAAAAGGAAUGCAACACGAGGACUUCCCAGGAGGUCACCCAUCCUAGUACUACUCUCGCCCAAGCACGCUUAACUUCGGAGUUCUGAUGGGAUCCGGUGCUUUAGUGCUGGUAUGAUCGCAUCCGACAUACCGUGCGUUCUCCUCCCCUUUAUGCCCGCGCCUCCGUGUACGGCCCGCCCAUAGCUCCUUCGACGGCGCCGCCUAGGAACGCGGAGAAAAUAUGACAAAGGAACGGCCAAAAAUAAAAAGAAAGACCUUUCUUUUGAAAAAACAAACGCCUCCGUGUACGGCCCGCCCAUAGCUCCUUCGACGGCGCCGCCUAGGAACGCGGAGAAAAUAUGACAAAGGAACGGCCAAAAAUAAAAAGAAAGACCUUUCUUUUGAAAAAACAAACAAAAAAAAGGAAUGCAACACGAGGACUUCCCAGGAGGUCACCCAUCCUAGUACUACUCUCGCCCAAGCACGCUUAACUUCGGAGUUCUGAUGGGAUCCGGUGCUUUAGUGCUGGUAUGAUCGCAUCCGACAUACCGUGCGUUCUCCUCCCCUUUAUGCCCGCGCCUCCGUGUACGGCCCGCCCAUAGCUCCUUCGACGGCGCCGCCUAGGAACGCGGAGAAAAUAUGACAAAGGAACGGCCAAAAAUAAAAAGAAAGACCUUUCUUUUGAAAAAACAAACAAAUAAAAGGAAUGCAACACGAGGACUUCCCAGGAGGUCACCCAUCCUAGUACUACUCUCGCCCAAGCACGCUUAACUUCGGAGUUCUGAUGGGAUCCGGUGCUUUAGUGCUGGUAUGAUCGCAUCCGACAUACCGUGCGUUCUCCUCCCCUUUAUGCCCGCGCCUCCGUGUACGGCCCGCCCAUAGCUCCUUCGACGGCGCCGCCUAGGAACGCGGAGAAAAUAUGACAAAGGAACGGCCAAAAAUAAAAAGAAAGACCUUUCUUUUGAAAAAACAAACGCCUCCGUGUACGGCCCGCCCAUAGCUCCUUCGACGGCGCCGCCUAGGAACGCGGAGAAAAUAUGACAAAGGAACGGCCAAAAAUAAAAAGAAAGACCUUUCUUUUGAAAAAACAAACAAAAAAAAGGAAUGCAACACGAGGACUUCCCAGGAGGUCACCCAUCCUAGUACUACUCUCGCCCAAGCACGCUUAACUUCGGAGUUCUGAUGGGAUCCGGUGCUUUAGUGCUGGUAUGAUCGCAUCCGACAUACCGUGCGUUCUCCUCCCCUUUAUGCCCGCGCCUCCGUGUACGGCCCGCCCAUAGCUCCUUCGACGGCGCCGCCUAGGAACGCGGAGAAAAUAUGACAAAGGAACGGCCAAAAAUAAAAAGAAAGACCUUUCUUUUGAAAAAACAAACAAAUAAAAGGAAUGCAACACGAGGACUUCCCAGGAGGUCACCCAUCCUAGUACUACUCUCGCCCAAGCACGCUUAACUUCGGAGUUCUGAUGGGAUCCGGUGCUUUAGUGCUGGUAUGAUCGCAUCCGACAUACCGUGCGUUCUCCUCCCCUUUAUGCCCGCGCCUCCGUGUACGGCCCGCCCAUAGCUCCUUCGACGGCGCCGCCUAGGAACGCGGAGAAAAUAUGACAAAGGAACGGCCAAAAAUAAAAAGAAAGACCUUUCUUUUGAAAAAACAAACAAAAAAAAGGAAUGCAACACGAGGACUUCCCAGGAGGUCACCCAUCCUAGUACUACUCUCGCCCAAGCACGCUUAACUUCGGAGUUCUGAUGGGAUCCGGUGCUUUAGUGCUGGUAUGAUCGCAUCCGACAUACCGUGCGUUCUCCUCCCCUUUAUGCCCGCGCCUCCGGGUACGGUCCUCCCAUAGCUCCGUCAACGGCCCGCCUAGGAACGCGGAGAAAAUAUGACAAAGGAACGGCCAAAAAUAAAAAGAAAGCCCUUUCUUUUGAAAAGACAACCGAAUAAAAGGAAUGCCACGCGAGGACUUCCCAGGAGGUCACCCAUCAUAGUACUACUCUCGCCCAAGCACGCUUAACUUCGGAGUUCUGAUGGGAUCCGGUGCUUUAGUGCUGGUAUGAUCGCAUCCGACAUACCGCGCGUUCUCCUCCCCUUAAGGCCCGCGCCUCCGUGUACGGCCCGCCCAUAGCUCCUUAGACGGCACCUCCUAGGAACGCGGAGAAAAUAUGACAAAGGAACGGCCAAAAAUAAAAAGAAAGACCUUUCUUUUGAAAAAACAAACGCCUCCGUGUACGGCCCGCCCAUAGCUCCUUCGACGGCGCCGCCUAGGAACGCGGAGAAAAUAUGACAAAGGAACGGCCAAAAAUAAAAAGAAAGACCUUUCUUUUGAAAAAACAAACAAAAAAAAGGAAUGCAACACGAGGACUUCCCAGGAGGUCACCCAUCCUAGUACUACUCUCGCCCAAGCACGCUUAACUUCGGAGUUCUGAUGGGAUCCGGUGCUUUAGUGCUGGUAUGAUCGCAUCCGACAUACCGUGCGUUCUCCUCCCCUUUAUGCCCGCGCCUCCGUGUACGGCCCGCCCAUAGCUCCUUCGACGGCGCCGCCUAGGAACGCGGAGAAAAUAUGACAAAGGAACGGCCAAAAAUAAAAAGAAAGACCUUUCUUUUGAAAAAACAAACGCCUCCGCGUACGGCCCGCCCAUAGCUCCUUCGACGGCGCCGCCUAGGAACGCGGAGAAAAUAUGACAAAGGAACGGCCAAAAAUAAAAAGAAAGACCUUUCUUUUGAAAAAACAAACAAAAAAAAGGAAUGCAACACGAGGACUUCCCAGGAGGUCACCCAUCCUAGUACUACUCUCGCCCAAGCACGCUUAACUUCGGAGUUCUGAUGGGAUCCGGUGCUUUAGUGCUGGUAUGAUCGCAUCCGACAUACCGUGCGUUCUCCUCCCCUUUAUGCCCGCGCCUCCGUGUACGGCCCGCCCAUAGCUCCUUCGACGGCGCCGCCUAGGAACGCGGAGAAAAUAUGACAAAGGAACGGCCAAAAAUAAAAAGAAAGACCUUUCUUUUGAAAAAACAAACAAAUAAAAGGAAUGCAACACGAGGACUUCCCAGGAGGUCACCCAUCCUAGUACUACUCUCGCCCAAGCACGCUUAACUUCGGAGUUCUGAUGGGAUCCGGUGCUUUAGUGCUGGUAUGAUCGCAUCCGACAUACCGUGCGUUCUCCUCCCCUUUAUGCCCGCGCCUCCGUGUACGGCCCGCCCAUAGCUCCUUCGACGGCGCCGCCUAGGAACGCGGAGAAAAUAUGACAAAGGAACGGCCAAAAAUAAAAAGAAAGACCUUUCUUUUGAAAAAACAAACAAAUAAAAGGAAUGCAACACGAGGACUUCCCAGGAGGUCACCCAUCCUAGUACUACUCUCGCCCAAGCACGCUUAACUUCGGAGUUCUGAUGGGAUCCGGUGCUUUAGUGCUGGUAUGAUCGCAUCCGACAUACCGUGCGUUCUCCUCCCCUUUAUGCCCGCGCCUCCGUGUACGGCCCGCCCAUAGCUCCUUCGACGGCGCCGCCUAGGAACGCGGAGAAAAUAUGACAAAGGAACGGCCAAAAAUAAAAAGAAAGACCUUUCUUUUGAAAAAACAAACGCCUCCGUGUACGGCCCGCCCAUAGCUCCUUCGACGGCGCCGCCUAGGAACGCGGAGAAAAUAUGACAAAGGAACGGCCAAAAAUAAAAAGAAAGACCUUUCUUUUGAAAAAACAAACAAAAAAAAGGAAUGCAACACGAGGACUUCCCAGGAGGUCACCCAUCCUAGUACUACUCUCGCCCAAGCACGCUUAACUUCGGAGUUCUGAUGGGAUCCGGUGCUUUAGUGCUGGUAUGAUCGCAUCCGACAUACCGUGCGUUCUCCUCCCCUUUAUGCCCGCGCCUCCGUGUACGGCCCGCCCAUAGCUCCUUCGACGGCGCCGCCUAGGAACGCGGAGAAAAUAUGACAAAGGAACGGCCAAAAAUAAAAAGAAAGACCUUUCUUUUGAAAAAACAAACAAAUAAAAGGAAUGCAACACGAGGACUUCCCAGGAGGUCACCCAUCCUAGUACUACUCUCGCCCAAGCACGCUUAACUUCGGAGUUCUGAUGGGAUCCGGUGCUUUAGUGCUGGUAUGAUCGCAUCCGACAUACCGUGCGUUCUCCUCCCCUUUAUACCCGCGCCUCCGUGUACGGCCCGCCCAUAGCUCCUUCGACGGCGCCGCCUAGGAACGCGGAGAAAAUAUGACAAAGGAACGGCCAAAAAUAAAAAGAAAGACCUUUCUUUUGAAAAAACAAACAAAUAAAAGGAAUGCAACACGAGGACUUCCCAGGAGGUCACCCAUCCUAGUACUACUCUCGCCCAAGCACGCUUAACUUCGGAGUUCUGAUGGGAUCCGGUGCUUUAGUGCUGGUAUGAUCGCAUCCGACAUACCGUGCGUUCUCCUCCCCUUUAUGCCCGCGCCUCCGUGUACGGCCCGCCCAUAGCUCCUUCGACGGCGCCGCCUAGGAACGCGGAGAAAAUAUGACAAAGGAACGGCCAAAAAUAAAAAGAAAGACCUUUCUUUUGAAAAAACAAACGCCUCCGUGUACGGCCCGCCCAUAGCUCCUUCGACGGCGCCGCCUAGGAACGCGGAGAAAAUAUGACAAAGGAACGGCCAAAAAUAAAAAGAAAGACCUUUCUUUUGAAAAAACAAACAAAAAAAAGGAAUGCAACACGAGGACUUCCCAGGAGGUCACCCAUCCUAGUACUACUCUCGCCCAAGCACGCUUAACUUCGGAGUUCUGAUGGGAUCCGGUGCUUUAGUGCUGGUAUGAUCGCAUCCGACAUACCGUGCGUUCUCCUCCCCUUUAUACCCGCGCCUCCGUGUACGGCCCGCCCAUAGCUCCUUCGACGGCGCCGCCUAGGAACGCGGAGAAAAUAUGACAAAGGAACGGCCAAAAAUAAAAAGAAAGACCUUUCUUUUGAAAAAACAAGCAAAAAAAAGGAAUGCAACACGAGGACUUCCCAGGAGGUCACCCAUCCUAGUACUACUCUCGCCCAAGCACGCUUAACUUCGGAGUUCUGAUGGGAUCCGGUGCUUUAGUGCUGGUAUGAUCGCAUCCGACAUACCGUGCGUUCUCCUCCCCUUUAUGCCCGCGCCUCCGUGUACGGCCCGCCCAUAGCUCCUUCGACAGCGCCGCCUAGGAACGCGGAGAAAAUAUGACAAAGGAACGGCAAAAAAUAAAAAGAAAGACCUUUCUUUUGAAAAAACAAACAAAAAAAAGGAAUGCAACACGCGGACUUCCCAGGAGGUCACCCAUCCUAGUACUACUCUCGCCUAAGCACGCUUAACUUCGGAGUNNNNNNNNNNNNNNNNNNNNNNNNNNNNNNNNNNNNNNNNNNNNNNNNNNNNNNNNNNNNNNNNNNNNNNNNNNNNNNNNNNNNNNNNNNNNNNNNNNNNNNNNNNNNNNNNNNNNNNNNNNNNNNNNNNNNNNNNNNNNNNNNNNNNNNNNNNNNNNNNNNNNNNNNNNNNNNNNNNNNNNNNNNNNNNNNNNNNNNNNNNNNNNNNNNNNNNNNNNNNNNNNNNNNNNNNNNNNNNNNNNNNNNNNNNNNNNNNNNNNNNNNNNNNNNNNNNNNNNNNNNNNNNNNNNNNNNNNNNNNNNNNNNNNNNNNNNNNNNNNNNNNNNNNNNNNNNNNNNNNNNNNNNNNNNNNNNNNNNNNNNNNNNNNNNNNNNNNNNNNNNNNNNNNNNNNNNNNNNNNNNNNNNNNNNNNNNNNNNNNNNNNNNNNNNNNNNNNNNNNNNNNNNNNNNNNNNNNNNNNNNNNNNNNNNNNNNNNNNNNNNNNNNNNNNNNNNNNNNNNNNNNNNNNNNNNNNNNNNNNNNNNNNNNNNNNNNNNNNNNNNNNNNNNNNNNNNNNNNNNNNNNNNNNNNNNNNNNNNNNNNNNNNNNNNNNNNNNNNNNNNNNNNNNNNNNNNNNNNNNNNNNNNNNNNNNNNNNNNNNNNNNNNNNNNNNNNNNNNNNNNNNNNNNNNNNNNNNNNNNNNNNNNNNNNNNNNNNNNNNNNNNNNNNNNNNNNNNNNNNNNNNNNNNNNNNNNNNNNNNNNNNNNNNNNNNNNNNNNNNNNNNNNNNNNNNNNNNNNNNNNNNNNNNNNNNNNNNNNNNNNNNNNNNNNNNNNNNNNNNNNNNNNNNNNNNNNNNNNNNNNNNNNNNNNNNNNNNNNNNNNNNNNNNNNNNNNNNNNNNNNNNNNNNNNNNNNNNNNNNNNNNNNNNNNNNNNNNNNNNNNNNNNNNNNNNNNNNNNNNNNNNNNNNNNNNNNNNNNNNNNNNNNNNNNNNNNNNNNNNNNNNNNNNNNNNNNNNNNNNNNNNNNNNNNNNNNNNNNNNNNNNNNNNNNNNNNNNNNNNNNNNNNNNNNNNNNNNNNNNNNNNNNNNNNNNNNNNNNNNNNNNNNNNNNNNNNNNNNNNNNNNNNNNNNNNNNNNNNNNNNNNNNNNNNNNNNNNNNNNNNNNNNNNNNNNNNNNNNNNNNNNNNNNNNNNNNNNNNNNNNNNNNNNNNNNNNNNNNNNNNNNNNNNNNNNNNNNNNNNNNNNNNNNNNNNNNNNNNNNNNNNNNNNNNNNNNNNNNNNNNNNNNNNNNNNNNNNNNNNNNNNNNNNNNNNNNNNNNNNNNNNNNNNNNNNNNNNNNNNNNNNNNNNNNNNNNNNNNNNNNNNNNNNNNNNNNNNNNNNNNNNNNNNNNNNNNNNNNNCCUUCAUCCAUCUGUGCGAGGCCUAUGUUGGCAUAGAGCCGCACUUUGAUCUUUUCCGGUAUCUUUUCUGUCUGAGGAAGAAGGGAGCAGUUGGAGGCUCCAAGGUUGCAGGUGGAGUAUACCUCAACCUCCGUGAUGGGAUGAAGAAUCGCUACCUGCACUGCCCAUGGAACACCUCCUUGACCGAAUGGUACAGGAAGUGGUUCUACGUCAGGGAGGAACCGGGCAGCUCCACGUUCUGCGACGUGGGGUACGUUCCCGAGAAGAGGGCGAGCUGGACUGACCGCCCAGAGUUCGACGGUCAAGUGGCGGUUCUGAUGAAGCUGAUCGACUGGUCGCGCCUGGAUGGGCUCAGCGUGGUCGGCAACUUCAUUUGCCGCCGGGUGAUGCCCUGCCAGAAGAGGGUGCACUCGGCGUAUGAAUAUGCCGGAAGCACAGACCCGACCAGGAUGCGGUCGGAGAUCCUGGAGAAGGCGGAGGUACAACAGCUGCUGAACGAGCUGUUUAACUUCGCGGAUGGGGGCUUCACCCGUAGCAGUGAUCGGGUGCAAGCCUUCAAGUUAGGACGACCAGCACCAAAGGUAUGUAGCAGACUUCGUUUGAUCAUUCGUAUGUCGCCUGUAGUUGGCUCAUCUCUGUUACCUUUGCAGGUCGGUGAUGUCGACCGGUGCGUAGUGUACGUAUCACUGGCACCGGGGAUGGAAGAUCCUGUGGGAGAGGUCCCACCGGAGGAAGGCAGAGCCCGCCCCGUCCCGACCUCCGAGGAGAGGGUGGCGGGGAAAAGGCCAUUGCCGGUGGAUCCCCUGCCGACGCCGGAGCUGCCGGCAGACCUACCGGCGGAGAGCAGCCAAGCGCCGAAGCGUCGUCGGCUCGUGCGGAUCGUCGACGACGACGACGACGACGAGGAGGCUGCGCCGUCGUUGGUCCGACGGCCUCGGGGCCGCCCAGACGCUGCACCAGUCGCCACUGAUCGAGUGGCCAACGGCGCGGCUGCCCCGCAAGUUGCCGAGGUGGGGGCACAGGCGCCGACCGGCCGGGCGAGGAGGAGGUUCACCGCGACCCAUCGCCGGUCAGACCUGUAAGUGUUCAACUUACGUAUUUUGGACUCCCCCUUUUUUUUUUUUUUAAACUUUUGUUCCUGUAGUGCGGCAUCGGAUGUCGACCCUGGCCAAACUGCCGGCCAGGGAACGGGCGAGCCUGCCCGCGGUUCUCGGGAUGCGGCCCCCCAGACCACAGAACAGCCGACUGCUGCAGUCGCGCCUGGGAGCACCGAGGAGCUCCCGAGCGCGGCGCCGACUACAACAAGCAGCCCGACCAGGGCUGGGGAGGCUCCCCCAACUGACUCUUCGGAGAAGGGAAAGUCUCCGACCGCUCCUCCUGCCGGGGGGAGUGAAGUCCCCCCGCCGCCCCGAGCAGAAGCCUCUCCGGCUGCGGGCUCCCCAGGUCUGGUCCAAGGGACGUUGACGCCUGGGACCACCACCGGGGGUGACGCAGCCCAGGAGGAGGAAACCAGGGCGGCCUCCGACGACGAGGUAGAAGAGAUCGAGGGUCGUCCCCGUGAUGGCCGCCAACACGUGUAUGUGUGGCGCCAACGCGGGGAUCACUUUAUCGGUCAUGAGGAGCUUGCCGAGUCCGAAGAGGCCGCCAGGGUGGAGCGCGCGGCCAAGCGCCUUGUCGACGAAGUCAAGGUAAGCGUCGUUUUGAGCUGCCGCGCAUUCUUUUGCCUUGUCUUCUGCGCAUUGUUAUAUGCUUGCUUUGUAGGACGUUAUGAAAACGGCGAAGUACCGGAAACGGUGCUUUGACCAGAUAGAAGGCGUCAUGGCCGAGAACAAGGCCCUUGCCGCGGAGGUAGACCGGUUGCGGGCGGAGGUCGGAGAGAAGGUGGUCGAGAUGAGCACCGAGAAGGAGCGUCGUCUCGACCUCGCUCGUCGCCUGGCCGACCAGUACCGGCUGCAGGAAGGUUAGUCUCACGCUCCGAGCAGUUUCGCAGACUUGUAUAGUUUGCUUCGCUGACCAGUUUAGGAUUCACGCAGACUUGGAGGAGGAGGUGGCGAGCCUCCAACAAGAGAAGGAGCAGCUCGGCCAACAGCUCGCCAGUGCGCAGGAGUCCGGACGGCGAGCGGAAGAGGAAUUAAGUCGUAAAGACCGGGAGUUAGCUGGUAAUGGGUGCCGCCUUGUUGGUUGCUACCUGCCCCUUUGCUUGUUUGGUAUGCCGAAAGUAACGUUUCGUUUCGUUUGCAGUGCUCAAGGUGAACACCAAAAAGCACCUGGAUGAGCUGGUCAAGGACCGGGACUCCUGGAAGGUCAACUGUUGCAGGAUCUGGAAGGGAGUGUCCCCGGUCCUGGACCUGAUCAGUCCCGAGCUCCCGGAGAGCCAGCCCCGCGCGCCGCAGUUGACCCCGGUUCAAAAGGCGCAACGGGCGUGGGACUGGCUCCAGCAGUUUGUGAAGGACGCCGGGGAGUUUGCCGGCGCGCACGUCCUCAGCAUGGUACGCGCCCACUACCCCCUUGUCGACUUGAGCAGGCUGGAGAAGGGGUACCCGAAGGAAGUCGGCCCACAGGAAGCGGACGAACUUCGGGGUAGUCUGCUGGACUUGUCGUCGACAGUGAUCGGCGACAUCAACCUGUGCGGAACGGCCACUCCUCCAGACCAGCCGAGCUCAGAUAGGUCGGCCAGGGAGUUGUCGGGCGCGUCCUUUGCUGGAGAUGGGCGGUCGACGCCUGCGGUCUCGACCAGCCAGGCGCCGGUGGCCCCGACCCCUUCGUCCGGGCAGCAGGGCCAGGCGGGUGAUCAGCCCGAGCAGCUAGGCCAAUAAAGUAGUCUGUAGGAAUAGACUAGUAUCUGCCCGUCAGGGUAUUUAUUGUAAACUUUGUAUGUAAAGUUUGUAAUAAAGUUUUCUUUUUGUCAUGACUGUUGUUUUGAGCGCUGUAAAAAUAUCUGAGUGAUGUGUCAUCGUAUUUGUCUUGGUUGUCGCCAAGAGCAUCCAUUGCGGGAGUUUUGCCGAGUGCUGUGUAUGACAAGGUAUAGGCAAAAAAUAGAGAAUUAUAUUGUCACAAAUUAUAAGACACUUACAAAAGAAAGUCGCUAAAACUUUAUGGAUAGAAACGUCGCAGUUUGUCGAUGUGCCAAGAGUUAGGCACUCGUGUUCCGUCUGGGUAUGCCAAUCUGUAGGACGUAGGUCGUGUGACCUCGGUCACCACGAAGGGUCCUUCCCAGGGAGUAGAUAACUUGUGCAUUCCCUCCUGGCUUGUUUUCCAUCGAAGCACCAGAUCGCCGACCACGAAGGAACGGUCCUUGACGUUCCUGUUGUAGUAUCGCCUGACUGCCGUGAGAUAUUUUGCUGUUCGGAGACAUGAAACUAAACGCUUUUCCUCCAUGCAAUUGAUUUCGAGUUCUCUGGCGUUGUCGGCGGUCGACUGGUCGAAGUGCUCAAUUCUAGGGGAUCCGAAGUGUAUGUCGGACGGCAGAACCGCCUCUGCGCCGUACACCAUGAAAUAGGGAGACACCCCCGUGUUUCGACUGGUCUGAGUUCGAAGGCCCCAGACCACUGCCGGCAAUUCUUUCAUCCAUCGACCGGGUGCUCUGUCGUUCUCGGUGUACAAUCUUUUCUUUAGGGCGUCGACGAUCAUUCCAUUAGCACGUUCGACCUGACCGUUGGCACGUGGAUGUGCCACUGACACAUAUUUUAUGACUAUGCCUCUGUCAUCGCAGAAAUCCCAAAAGGUGGUGCCAGUAAACUGAGUGCCCAGGUCGGUGAUUAUGCUGUUCGGGAUGCCGAAUCUGUGUAUGAUUUGAUUGAGGAACUCCACAGCCUUCUCGGAAGUUGCCUUGACCAGGGGCAUGUAUUCAAUCCACUUGGAGAACUUGUCGAUUAACACGAAGACAAACUUGAAGUUGCCCGGGGCUGGUUUAAAUGGUCCGAUCAUGUCAAGCCCCCAGCAGGCAAAGGGCCAAGACGACGGGAUGGUUUGAAUUUCAUGGGCAGGUACGUGGGUCCUCUUAGCGAAAAACUGACAUCCUUCGCAACGCCGAACCAGUUUUUCUGCAUCGCUGACCGCGGUCGGCCAGUAAAAACCUGCUCGGAAAGCCUUUCCGACCAGCGUUCUAGAUGCGGCGUGGUUGCCGCAGGAUCCGGCGUGUAUGUCCUCCAAGAGCUUGAUACCAUCGUCUUGGGGUAUGCACUUGAGCAGUACCUCGGAGCUUGCGUUUUUCCGCAUGAGUUUUCCGUCGACCAGGAUGUAGUUCUUUGACCGUCGGAUGAGACGCUCGUUCUCUGUUUUGUCCUGAAAACCUGUCCCGUCUGAGAUGUAUUUGAUGAACGGGACACGCCAGUCGCGCCCGCCGGUUGUCGGAGUGGCGUCAUCUAUGAGCAUUGCCUCGUUGGGUUGCUUGUCGACCAGGGGGGAGCUUACGCUCGGCUCAUGGAUGUCCUGGACGAAAAUACCGCGCGGGAUUUGGGCCCGGGACGAGCCUAACUUUGACAACGCAUCUGCUGCUUGGUUCUUAUCCCGGACCACGUGGAUGUACUCUAUGCCAUAGAAGUUAGUUUCCCAUUUGCGAAUUUCUUUGCAGUAGAGAUCCAUCUUCUCGUGGGUUGCGUCCCACUCCUUGUUGAGCUGGUUGAUGACCAAAGCGGAGUCCCCGUAGACAUAGAGGCGCUUAACCCCCAGCUCAACGGCUAGUCGUACGCCAUGUAAGCAAGCUUCAUAUUCGGCGACAUUGUUUGACGCCGGGAAAAGGAUCCGAAGGACGUAGCGGAGUUUGUCCUUGUUUGGUGAUACGAACAAUAUCCCAGCGCCUGCACCGUUGAUGUUCAAGGACCCAUCAAAGAACAUUGACCAGUGGUCUGAGACAUCGGGAACGGACGGUUCGUUGAGAUCCGUCCAUUCGGCAAUGAAAUCGACCAGGGCUUGGGACUUGACAGUGGUGCGACUCUGAAACUCCAGGGAAAAUGGACAUAAUUCCAUUGCCCAUUUCACGAUUCUGCCAUUGGCGUCUUUAUUGCGCAGGAUGUCACCGAGGGGAAAGCUGGUUGUCACCAGGACUCGAUGGCCGUCGAAGUAGUGCUUCAGUUUUCUUGACGUUAUCAGGAUGGCGUAUAUAAGCUUCUGUAUUUGUGGGUACCUGGCCUUGGAUUCGUUUAAAACUUCGCUUAUGAAGUAAACGGGCCUCUGGACCUUGAAGACGUGACCUGGUUCAUCUCGCUCGACCACUAUUGCCGUGGAAACAACUCUGUCGGUUGCAGCAAUGUAAAGGAGCAGGUCUUCGUUGGGCUGAGGCGCUGUGAGAACAGGCGGUGAAGUGAGGAAGGUCUUAAGCUGAGUGAACGCAGCGUCGGCGUCUUCUAUCCAGGAGAAUUUUUCUGACGCUUUCAAUAGUUUGAAAAAGGGGAGGCCUUUUUCUCCCAGCCUUGAGAUGAAACGACUGAGAGCGGCCAUGCAUCCGGUUAGCUUCUGAAUAUCCUUGACGUUCUUCGGUGGUCGCAUGUCGAGUACGGCUUUGACUUUUGAAGGGUUUGGCCGUAUGCCGUCGCAACUGACGACGUUGCCGAGCAGUAGACCGGAAGGAACGCCGAAAAUGCAUUUCUUGGGGUUGAGCUUCCACUUGUACCUAUUGAGUGCCUUGAAGGUUCGGUCUAAGUUGUCGAUUAGGGUGCUCGCAUCCCUUGUUUUUACGACCACGUCGUCCACAUAGGCCUCGACGAGGUCGUCGCGAAUCUCGUCGUGGAGGCAUUGCUGGAUGGCCCUUUGAUAAGUGGCCCCGGCGUUUUUAAGUCCGAAAGACAUGGUAGUGUAACAGUAUGCGCCGAAAGGUGUGAUGAAGGAUGUUUUGAUCUGAUCUUCUUCUUUUAACGAGAUCUGGUGAUAACCAGAGUAGCAAUCUAGAAAGGAGAGGAGUUCGCAUCCGGCCGUUGAGUCGACCACCUCGUCGAUGCGAGGAAGACCAAAAGGAUCUUUAGGACAGUGUUUGUUGAGAUCGGUGUAAUCAACGCACAUUCUCCAUUCAUUAUUCUUUUUGCGUACAAGAACCGGAUUGGCGAGCCAAUCGGGAUGAUACACCUCUUUUAUGAAUCCGGCUGCUAGAAGCCGUGUUAUUUCUGUCCUAAUAGCCUCCUUUUUGUCACGAGCGAACCGUCGCAGUUUUUGCUUGAUUGGUCUUGCGGUCUUCGAGACGUUUAAGGAGUGCUCGAUCAGGUUCCGUGGGACGCCGGGCAUGUCUGCGGGUUUCCAUGCGAAAACGCUCACGUUGUCCCUUAGAAACCUGACGAGCGCGUCUUCCUAUUUUGGAUCCAGGUUAGCCCCGAUGAGGGCUGUCUUCUCGGGGUUGCCCUCGACCAGCUGCACUUCUUUGUACUCCUUGGAUUUCGAAUUCUUUCUGGCUGUCUCCUGCUCAGGUAAUCGGAGCUGGUCGGGGGGCAGCUGUGCGGCUUGGUUUGCUGUUUCCGCCAUGCGGAUUGAGAGGUCAAUUGCCUCGGUGAUCUUGAAACUUUCUUCUUCGCAGGUGUACGCAGUGUAGACGUUGCCUCUGACGGUCAGGACACCCUUCUCCGUGGGCAUCUUAAGCACUAGGUACGAGUAGUGCGGGACUGCCAUGAACUUUGUCAGCGAUGGGCGGCCCAGUAUGGCGUGGUAGGUCCCGUCGAAGUCCGCGACUACGAAGUUGAUGAACUCCGUCCGGAAGUGAUCGGGUGUGCCGAAUUGGACAGGCAAUGUUAUCUGUCCGAGGGGCACCGAACUUUGACCUGGCAAAACCCCCCAGAAUUGGGCGUCGUAAGGUUUUAGUUGGGCCGGUGAUAUCUUGAGGGCGGGCAGGCUGUUGCGGAAGAGGAUGUCAAUGGAGCUUCCCCCGUCCACGAGCACGCGCUCGAAUCUGAUGCUGUUGAUGCAAGGAUCGAGAAUUAGUGGGAAACGACCCGGCUCCGGGAUAGCGGCCCACUGGUCCUUCCUGCUGAACGCGAUCUCCCUAUGGGACCAGGCGGGAAAUUUCAGAUCUGCGAUCAGCCCGUCCGUGCUGUCUAUGUUGAGGCAGGCUCUCUUCAACAGCUUUCUUUCUCGCUUGGACUCAGUGGAGACCUUGCCCCCGAAAAUGGAGUGGACCACGUCGGUGGGGCUGACGUAUUGGUGUCGGGGGUCCCUGUCUUGGUCCUCGUCCUCAUCUUCGUGGUCGUGCCCGUCGCGUUUGUUACUUUUCUUGGCGGUGUCUUCUUGGGCGGCCCGCCGUGUAUAGAUAUUUUUGAGGACGCGGCACUCUUCCAUGGUAUGGUUAGACUUUGGAUGUAGCUGGCACGGUCCCUUCAACGUUUUGUUGUAGUCGUCUUGGUAGUCCCGUCGUCCAUUGGGACGUUUGACCGUGUUUACUUCGUGGUCGUAUUCGCGAGGGCGCUUUCCUCUGAAGUCGUCGCGGCUGUCGCGCCGCCGAUCCCAACCCUCUCGGUGAUCGCGGUUGUCGGAGCGACGGUGAUUUCUGUUGUCGUAGCGGCCGCGACCGUCGUCUCGCCGGGAGGGCUGGUCGGUGCCUCUCGCAUCGUCUCGGAUUAGUUUUUCUGCGUCAUCAGCAUCGGCAUAAUUUUUAGCCGUGGCGAGGAGCUCUGCUACUGUUGAUGGACGUUUACGCAACAGCUUGUUCCUCAGCGCUUCAUGGAAACGUAAGCCCUUGAUAAAGGCUGAUAUGGCCUCGUCAUGAGAAAUCUUCGGGAUUUUGAGACGCAUAUCCGAGAAUCGUCGGAUGUAAUCACGCAGAGGUUCAUUCUUCCUGUCUCUUAUCCUUUCAAGGUCAUACUUGUUUCCGGGCUGUUCGCAUGUGGCGAUGAAGUUGUCAAUGAAAGCCUGUCGUAGUUCUUCCCAAGAGUCGAAGGAGUCCUCGGGCAAGCCGAGAAGCCACUGAUGACCAGCCUGGUCGAGGACUACGGGGAAGUAGUUAGCCAUGACGUGCUCAUCUCCUGCCGCUGAUCGGACGGCGAUUUCGUAGAGGGUGAUCCAGUUCUCUGGAUUUUCCUUGCCGUCGUAUUUUUUAAGUUUUUCGAGCUUGAAAUUUCUGGGCCACACGACCUGGCGGAGGUGUGAGGAGAACUGCCUUAGGCCCGGGGGACCAUGGGUCGCAUCGUACUCGAUGCGGCGUAGGUUUUCGUGGACUGCUCUCUCUGCGGCGCGCCUGUUGAUGCGGUCCCGGGCAUCUUUGGGAGGGAUGUUGUGGCGGAGAUCCCUGUGUUGAUCUUCUUCUUCCUGGCCGCGUACGCGGUUCUGCUGGCGGCGGCCAUCGGCGUCUCGACCACCAUCGUCGCGCCGUGAGUCCCCUCGACGGUUGUCGGGGGAGCGCCUGCGGCGACGCCUGCUGGGCGAGGCCCGGCUACGAUGAGUCUGGUCGGAGGCGGCUUCCGUAUAAGGGACGUCCUGGACUCUCUUAAGCAGAGUUGCUGUCUGUCCCAUCGCGGCGAUCAGGUGUGCUCGGAUACUGGUCCGGACCCCCUGGCAUUCUGGUGUGUCAGGAAGCCGAUCCAGGUUGGCCAUGGCAACAGCCACGUUGGCGCUUGGCGUUUUGUAGACCGGCUGGUCCCCGACCAUGUCAAAGGCAUCGUUGAGGUUACCCGGUGGCGUCUGUUGUUGCUCGUCCGCACGCCGUCGGGCGCGAUCGGCGUUACGCUGUUCGCGGAGUUGCCUCUGGUCGUCUGUUUCUCCGUCAACAACCGGUUCGUCGGCGCUGACAUUGAAUACAAUAUCCCCUCGCCGGGGGGGGGGAAUAUCGGGAACCGGUCGAAACCCGGAGGGUGUGAAGGGAAAUCCAGGUCGUAGCCCUCGUCUUCGGUGUUUAUAACCUCGGUGGGGACGGAGCCGGUGCUUGAGUUGGUGCUGGAAACCUGGCCGUUCCGUAGCUCUCGGAUUGUCACCAUGUUGACAUGGUGACGAUUGUUCCUUGUCGGCGACCAGCCCGCUUUGCUGAAAACGGAUUGAACAUGCUGUGAGUAGACAGAGGCCGAGUUAUUCAGGCCGCAAGGAUGGUCUCCCUUUUUGAGCUCGACGGAUCGGCCUGAGGAGGUUGAGGUUAUCGCCAGGGACGUUCCCAGCCGUUCGUGUGUGGUGACACGAGUUGGCCGGCGGGAUUUCGAAAAAUCCGCUUGAGUGGCUUGGUCGGGCCGGCGCAGAAUUCCAUCUAUUAGUUGGGAGACUUCGAGCAGCUUGGAGUCGGCGCGAUCGAGCGCUUGGAGGAGGUCCGAGCAGUCGAUCUCCUUUCCCUUGUAGAGUGGGAACGGUGGCCGGGAGUUUGGUGCCGUCAUGCGUGUGGUCGGAGACGGCGUGAUCUCAGAUUGGAUCUGGAUCUCUUUCGGGACCGUGGUCGGGAAGCCGCCGCUGCACGUCGUCCACGUGAUCUGGCCGACGGUAAACGUGAGGCCUUCGGGCACGGUCGCGGAAGCUGGGAUCGUGACCAUCUUGUUCGCCGGAAAAGUUGCACGCACACCCCCUACCUGGCGCGCCACUGUCGACGAAAGCUGGUCGGCAGUCUACCUUGGGGUAUACCCACGGUAGUAGUUUAUCGGUAGACGGUGCGCAAACUACGAACUCGAUGGUGACGCAAGACACGGACAAGCUUUUUAUCCAGGUUCGGCCGCCGAGUUGGCGUAAUACCUACGUCCUGCGUCUGGUUGUAUUGGAUUGUGUUUAGAGAUAAUCUACCCUAGGGGGUCCCCUUGCCCCUCCUUAUAUAGUCUGGAGGGCAGGGUUACAGAUCUAGAAACUAAUCCUAGCCGGUUACAAUUGCCAUAGAUAAUUCGAUAUCAAUUCCUAUUCUAACCGACUAGAAUCCUGCUUGAUCUCCACGUCCUGUUUCCUUGCGCGAAACUCGGGCUAUCGGAUCAAGCCUUGAACUCGUCUCGUAGUGGGCCAAGCUUCCUAGCUGAAGUCUAGCCGUAAGGGUAUAGGGGUUUAUACCCCCACACCGUGCGUUCUCCUCCCCUUUAUGCCCGCGCCUCCGUGUACGGCCCGCCCAUAGCUCCUUCGACGGCGCCGCCUAGGAACGCGGAGAAAAUAUGACAAAGGAACGGCCAAAAAUAAAAAGAAAGACCUUUCUUUUGAAAAAACAAACAAAUAAAAGGAAUGCAACACGAGGACUUCCCAGGAGGUCACCCAUCCUAGUACUACUCUCGCCCAAGCACGCUUAACUUCGGAGUUCUGAUGGGAUCCGGUGCUUUAGUGCUGGUAUGAUCGCAUCCGACAUACCGUGCGUUCUCCUCCCCUUUAUGCCCGCGCCUCCGUGUACGGCCCGCCCAUAGCUCCUUCGACGGCGCCGCCUAGGAACGCGGAGAAAAUAUGACAAAGGAACGGCCAAAAAUAAAAAGAAAGACCUUUCUUUUGAAAAAACAAACAAAAAAAAGGAAUGCAACACGAGGACUUCCCAGGAGGUCACCCAUCCUAGUACUACUCUCGCCCAAGCACGCUUAACUUCGGAGUUCUGAUGGGAUCCGGUGCUUUAGUGCUGGUAUGAUCGCAUCCGACAUACCGUGCGUUCUCCUCCCCUUUAUGCCCGCGCCUCCGUGUACGGCCCGCCCAUAGCUCUUUCGACGGCGCCGCCUAGGAACGCGGAGAAAAUAUGACAAAGGAACGGCCAAAAAUAAAAGAAAGACCUUUCUUUUGAAAAAACAAACGCCUCCGUGUACGGCCCGCCCAUAGCUCCUCCGACGGCCCCGCCUAGGAACGCGAAGAAAAUAUGACAAAGGAACGCCCAAAAAUAAAAAGAAAGACCUUUCUUUUGAAAAAACAAACAUUAAAAAGGAAUGCAACACGAGGACUUCCCAGGAGGUCACCAAUCCUAGUACUACUCUCGCCCAAGCACGCUUAACUUCGAAGUUCUGAUGGGAUCCGGUGCUUUAGUGCUGGUAUGAUCGCAUCCGACAUACCGUGCGUUCUCCUCCCCUUUAUGCCCGCGCCUCCGUGUACGGCCCGCCCAUAGCUCCUUCGACGGCGCCGCCUAGGAACGCGGAGAAAAUAUGACAAAGGAACGGCCAAAAAUAAAAAGAAAGACCUUUCUUUUGAAAAAACAAACAAAAAAAAGGAAUGCAACACGAGGACUUCCCAGGAGGUCACCCAUCCUAGUACUACUCUCGCCCAAGCACGCUUAACUUCGGAGUUCUGAUGGGAUCCGGUGCUUUAGUGCUGGUAUGAUCGCAUCCGACAUACCGUGCGUUCUCCUCCCCUUUAUGCCCGCGCCUCCGUGUACGGCCCGCCCAUAGCUCCUUCGACGGCGCCGCCUAGGAACGCGGAGAAAAUAUGACAAAGGAACGGCCAAAAAUAAAAAGAAAGACCUUUCUUUUGAAAAAACAAACAAAAAAAAGGAAUGCAACACGAGGACUUCCCAGGAGGUCACCCAUCCUAGUACUACUCUCGCCCAAGCACGCUUAACUUCGGAGUUCUGAUGGGAUCCGGUGCUUUAGUGCUGGUAUGAUCGCAUCCGACAUACCGUGCGUUCUCCUCCCCUUUAUGCCCGCGCCUCCGUGUACGGCCCGCCCAUAGCUCCUUCGACGGCGCCGCCUAGGAACGCGGAGAAAAUAUGACAAAGGAACGGCCAAAAAUAAAAAGAAAGACCUUUCUUUUGAAAAAAAAAACAAAAAAAAGGAAUGCAACACGAGGACUUCCCAGGAGGUCACCCAUCCUAGUACUACUCUCGCCCAAGCACGCUUAACUUCGGAGUUCUGAUGGGAUCCGGUGCUUUAUUGCUGGUAUGAUCGCAUCCGACAUACCGUGCGUUCUCCUCCCCUUUAUGCCCGCACCUCCGUGUACGGCCCGCCCAUAGCUCCUUCGACGGCGCCGCCUAGGAACGCGGAGAAAAUAUGACAAAGGAACGGCCAAAAAUAAAAAGAAAGACCUUUCUUUUGAAAAAACAAACAAAAAAAAGGAAUGCAACACGAGGACUUCCCAGGAGGUCACCCAUCCUAGUACUACUCUCGCCCAAGCACGCUUAACUUCGGAGUUCUGAUGGGAUCCGGUGCUUUAGUGCUGGUAUGAUCGCAUCCGACAUACCGUGCGUUCUCCUCCCCUUUAUGCCCGCGCCUCCGUGUACGGCCCGCCCAUAGCUCCUUCGACGGCGCCGCCUAGGAACGCGGAGAAAAUAUGACAAAGGAACGGCCAAAAAUAAAAAGAAAGACCUUUCUUUUGAAAAAACAAACAAAUAAAAGGAAUGCAACACGAGGACUUCCCAGGAGGUCACCCAUCCUAGUACUACUCUCGCCCAAGCACGCUUAACUUCGAAGUUCUGAUGGGAUCCGGUGCUUUAGUGCUGGUAUGAUCGUAUCCGACAUACCGUGCGUUCUCCUCCCCUGAAUGCCCGCGCCUCCGUGUACGGCCCGCCCAGAGCUCUUUAGAUGGGACUUCCGAUGGAAUCGGAGACAAUAGGACAAAGGAACGGCCAAAAAUAAAAAGAAAGACCUUUCUUCCGAAAAAACAAACGCCUCCGUGUACGGCCCGCCCAUAGCUCCUUCGACGGCGCCGCCUAGGAACGCGGAGAAAAUAUGACAAAGGAACGGCCAAAAAUAAAAAGAAAGACCUUUCUUUUGAAAAAACAAACAAAAAAAAGGAAUGCAACACGAGGACUUCCCAGGAGGUCACCCAUCCUAGUACUACUCUCGCCCAAGCACGCUUAACUUCGGAGUUCUGAUGGGAUCCGGUGCUUUAGUGCUGGUAUGAUCGCAUCCGACAUACCGUGCGUUCUCCUCCCCUUUAUGCCCGCGCCUCCGUGUACGGCCCGCCCAUAGCUCCUUCGACGGCGCCGCCUAGGAACGCGGAGAAAAUAUGACAAAGGAACGGCCAAAAAUAAAAAGAAAGACCUUUCUUUUGAAAAAACAAACGCCUCCGUGUACGGCCCGCCCAUAGCUCCUUCGACGGCGCCGCCUAGGAACGCGGAGAAAAUAUGACAAAGGAACGGCCAAAAAUAAAAAGAAAGACCUUUCUUUUGAAAAAACAAACAAAAAAAAGGAAUGCAACACGAGGACUUCCCAGGAGGUCACCCAUCCUAGUACUACUCUCGCCCAAGCACGCUUAACUUCGGAGUUCUGAUGGGAUCCGGUGCUUUAGUGCUGGUAUGAUCGCAUCCGACAUACCGUGCGUUCUCCUCCCCUUUAUGCCCGCGCCUCCGUGUACGGCCCGCCCAUAGCUCCUUCGACGGCGCCGCCUAGGAACGCGGAGAAAAUAUGACAAAGGAACGGCCAAAAAUAAAAAGAAAGACCUUUCUUUUGAAAAAACAAACAAAAAAAAGGAAUGCAACACGAGGACUUCCCAGGAGGUCACCCAUCCUAGUACUACUCUCGCCCAAGCACGCUUAACUUCGGAGUUCUGAUGGGAUCCGGUGCUUUAGUGCUGGUAUGAUCGCAUCCGACAUACCGUGCGUUCUCCUCCCCUUUAUGCCCGCGCCUCCGUGUACGGCCCGCCCAUAGCUCCUUCGACGGCGCCGCCUAGGAACGCGGAGAAAAUAUGACAAAGGAACGGCCAAAAAUAAAAAGAAAGACCUUUCUUUUGAAAAAACAAACAAAUAAAAGGAAUGCAACACGAGGACUUCCCAGGAGGUCACCCAUCCUAGUACUACUCUCGCCCAAGCACGCUUAACUUCGGAGUUCUGAUGGGAUCCGGUGCUUUAGUGCUGGUAUGAUCGCAUCCGACAUACCGUGCGUUCUCCUCCCCUUUAUGCCCGCGCCUCCGUGUACGGCCCGCCCAUAGCUCCUUCGACGGCGCCGCCUAGGAACGCGGAGAAAAUAUGACAAAGGAACGGCCAAAAAUAAAAAGAAAGACCUUUCUUUUGAAAAAACAAACAAAUAAAAGGAAUGCAACACGAGGACUUCCCAGGAGGUCACCCAUCCUAGUACUACUCUCGCCCAAGCACGCUUAACUUCGGAGCUCUGAUGGGAUCCGGUGCUUUAGUGCUGGUAUGAUCGCAUCCGACAUACCGUGCGUUCUCCUCCCCUUUAUGCCCGCGCCUCCGUGUACGGCCCGCCCAUAGCUCCUUCGACGGCGCCGCCU
This 38639-nucleotide long non-coding RNA is filed under the name Sorghum bicolor (sorghum). RNAcentral's name for it is "long non-coding RNA (SBIC_LNC015499)". Lineage: Eukaryota; Viridiplantae; Streptophyta; Magnoliopsida; Poales; Poaceae. The record is from RNAcentral.